AGAGUUUGAUCCUGGCUCAGGAUGAACGCUAGCUACAGGCUUAACACAUGCAAGUCGAGGGGAAACGACAUCGAAAGCUUGCUUUUGAUGGGCGUCGACCGGCGCACGGGUGAGUAACGCGUAUCCAACCUGCCCAUCACCUGGGGAUAACCUUGCGAAAGUAAGACUAAUACCCAAUGAUAUCUCUAGAAGACAUCUGAAAGAGAUUAAAGAUUUAUCGGUGAUGGAUGGGGAUGCGUCUGAUUAGCUUGUUGGCGGGGUAACGGCCCACCAAGGCUACGAUCAGUAGGGGUUCUGAGACGGAAGGUCCCCCANAUUGGAACUGAGACACGGUCCAAACUCCUACGGGAGGCA
RNAcentral lists this ribosomal RNA (354 nucleotides) under uncultured bacterium. RNAcentral's name for it is "bacterial SSU rRNA". It matches the Rfam family "Bacterial small subunit ribosomal RNA", at positions 8 to 350 of the family's 1533-position model. The record is from RNAcentral.